UACGUAGGGUGCGAGCGUUUGUCCGGAAUUAUUGGGCGUAAAGAGCUUGUAGGCGGCUUGUCGCGUCUGCUGUGAAAAUCCGAGGCUCAACCUCGGACUUGCAGUGGGUACGGGCAGGCUAGAGUGUGGUAGGGGAGACUGGAAUUCCUGGUGUAGCGGUGAAAUGCGCAGAUAUCAGGAGGAACACCGAUGGCGAAGGCAGGUCGUCUGGGCCACUACUGACGCUGAGAAGCGAAAGCAUGGGGGAGCGAACAGG
This 256-nucleotide ribosomal RNA is filed under the name uncultured bacterium. RNAcentral describes it as "partial 16S ribosomal RNA". It matches the Rfam family "Bacterial small subunit ribosomal RNA", at positions 524 to 776 of the family's 1533-position model. The record is from RNAcentral.